This is a long non-coding RNA of Pungitius pungitius (ninespine stickleback), 4234 nucleotides long. RefSeq lists it as uncharacterized. The transcript has 4 exons. The record is from RefSeq and is a predicted model, not a curated record. Lineage: Eukaryota; Metazoa; Chordata; Actinopteri; Perciformes; Gasterosteidae.
UGGAGAUGUCCUGGAUGUUUUGAGCUUUGGCACAAAUGUUUCAGGAUAGAAAACGAUCUAACCAAGAUGCACGGACAGACUUUCCCAGAGAAGUACUUCUUGAAGCAGUCCAGCUCCUUGCCAAUGUUUUCCUUUACCACGGCAAACAGAGGGACUUCAAGAUCCUGCAGCUGGGACAUCAGAGAGGACAGCUCAGCGGCCUCCUGGAGGGGGACGGACGGGGACAAUCAAAUAGAAUGGACGAAAGUUAACCAUUUAGGUGACCACAGAGUUGGUAUUACUGUGCAUCUGAUUUUCUACCUCUCUGCACAAUAUACAUCCGGGUCGCCGUACAACCAUGACCACAGCUCCAGUCUUGUCCCACAGAGUUUUGGCAGUGUGUCUCUCAUGCACUAAAACGGACAAAGGAGCAUUAUUGAUUCUAAUGUCACACAUGUGGAUUGUGGAACACAAUGUGGAAUUGUGUUAUUUGUUAUUUGACAACGAGGGUUUGAGUCCAAUCCUAUAAAGUUCAGAGAGCUAAAUUAGUUAAUCCAAAAUUAGAAUAUUAAAAUAAAUUGUUCUUCAAAGUUCCCUCUUUGUAAUGUUUCCCCUAGAUAGUGCUUCCUUUUUGAGAUACAAUAGAAUAAUAGCAACACAAAAGCGAAAGUACAGCAUAUCUGAAAGAUUAUAGAUGUAGCUUGUUUCUGUUUUCGGACUCACCCCCUCCAGUGGUCUUCAGCUCUGUUUCCUCCAGCACUUCUAGUUUGGCCCAUCCCGGUUCGGACUGGAACCAGUCUGUGACGGAGCUGAUGAGCUCGGCAACGAACAAGGUCACCGCCUUCAGGACCGAAGUCAGACUCACCAUGAUGCUAAACCCGCUCCACAGGCCACCUACACUGAUAACAUGUAUGUCUGCAGUGGUCAGUGCGUCAUGGCUCUGAGCAAGACCGCCCCCUGCAGGAGGAUUUUCAGAUAAUUGACAAAAAAAUGGCAACUGACAUCUCCCAGGGCCCACGGUGAAAUGUGUGGUGUCCUCCAUCCAUCUGAGCCAAAGAGUUAUCCAGAUUACAGUCACACAGAGGCUGGGUCCUGCUUUGUUUUGUUUGUUUUGUCAGAGGGGUUUGAGGUGAGUGCAGUGUGUGUGUGUGAUGGGGGCCAAUGCACAUUAAGCCAUAUGGGUGUUGUCUUGCUUUUUAAUCACACUUUUGAAAUAAAGCCAAUUGAAGUGAACCCCUUUUCUCGUGCCUGCAUAAUGUGAGUGAAAAGAGUGCGUAGCUAGAGUGGAACUGGGUAAUAUUUCACUCAUUGGUGGCAGGUUCUCAGAGGAAUGUGCUGAGGGUAAAAAAAAAAAGGGCUGGAAUAGAAGCGGCAUUGGAUGACACUCCACAAGCCCAGCUGCUGCACUCCCUCUGCCUGCCUAUAUGAUGGGUUGUGUGUGUGUGAGAGAUAGAGUAUGUCUGGUCACGUGAGCAACCAUGGAUGACCACUAGAUUAUUUUAUUAUUUAUUCUAUAAGACUGCUCAAUGUAGUGUGAAAACAUUUCCUACAUGACAGCUAGGCAAAUUGCAGUAAGGUGCUAUCUAUGCUUGGUCUGAUCAGACUGCUUUGCUAUUCCCACACACAUGCAAACAUACAGAGGAAGACAGAACACUCGGGUCUGCUCUGGAGGGGAGUGUGCAGGACCAACAGCCAAUCACAGCUGGAGAUUUGAACACCACCUCAUUUUGUGUGUUGUCGCAUUGGUCGACUCAUUAAAAAAGUAAAGCCAAUCAGGGCAAAUUGGGCAGUAGUAAGGGACGGACAGGGAGACUGAUGGUCUGCUUUGAGAAUCUGCUUUGGCCUCUAUCCAAUUCUAAUACUUUGAGAGACCCCGAAUGAUAAGAUUGAAGAUCAUUGAAUGGCAAAAUUACACAUAGAUAAGUCUGUAAAAAACGAUUUUAGAUCAAAACAAAAGAUCCACACAAACAGAAAGCACAAUAUAAAGACAACAUGACAAUGACCCUUACCCUUAAUAAAUCUGUCAUGCAUUAAUAUGUAAUUCCUUAUGUAAGUUGUACACACGCCACAAUCUCCCAAUGUUCAAUGAAGGUUCGUGCUGCGAUUGCCAUCCAGAUGGAACUGGUUAGUAACUGGACGAGUUCAGAGCUCCUGAGGCAAACUGUGACCUUCUAGCUUGUGAAAGACAAACAGCUGUUAGCAUCCACCCGACUCUGCCGGGGUUCAUUUAUCUCGUCCUGUUCUGGCAGGUUUGAGUUUGAGUAAUUCUUAGAAAUCAAAACCCCUGCAUUUAAAUUAGAAUCCAAAGGGGGCCGCAAUAUGAAAUACACAUUUCUUGUAGCCAAUCACAAUGCAGGAGGGGUCGCUGUCGCUGUGCUUCUUAAUGUGUAAUGUCAGACACUGUAGUGAAAUCAUUUCAGUGAUUGUGUUUGAUUUGAUGUAGAUUUGCUCCGUGGAGUUAUAGAAUGAUUUAACACUUCAUAUGACUGCAGUGGAAUGAAAUAUGACCUAAUAUGACAAAGACUGCAGUAAUUAAAGCACUUGGAAGUUUCUGUUUAACUCUUUAGUGUAUAAAAGAAAAGUCAGUAAGUUACAAUUUGAGGGUCCCAUUAUUAUCUACGUAUUUGUUUCCUAACUCUCCAGAACAUAUCCACUCUCUUCCUGCUGAAAUGUUAUUGAAGCUCUGAUAGCAGUUAUCUUUCACCGUAAGCAGAACAAUCUCGUUAGAGUUUUCCUAGUCAGUGAUUAACAAAUGUUUCCAGGCAAUCUACGCAAACUAAGAGAGGAGUCAGUGUCACUGGGCACCAAGUAACAACUGUGGUGUAAUGAGUUUUUUUCAAUCUCACACACAUGGACUGUAGUCAGGCCAAAAUAAACAAGAGGUGUAUCCCCCAGAGGUGUCGCACUGUCCCGUCAGACGGGUUCAUGUGUUCCUCAGUUCAUGUUUGUCACAUUUAGAUGUCCCUGACCUCUGUCCUCUUGUAAACCACAAGCAGUUUUUUUUUUAAAUAUUUAGGGUAGGGUAAAUAUGUAGAAGAUGCUAAAUAAUAAUUUGUAAUAACAAACAAAUGGAGCAGAAAAGCUUAACUAGGUCCAUGUAUCUCUCAAAUAAAAAUGAUUCAAUUACCUGCCUUCCCGUAACUAGCUUUCUUUCUAAAUUAGUAUGUUGGGGUUUCUGCCCAUAUGAGUUCCUCACUAAAUGUGAUUGUUCAGUAGGAAAAGAAUAAUGGAUAGAGCCCAUCCGCACCUUUUAUUUUGGCCACACUUAGCAUGCAGGUACUGGUCAGUACUGGGUUUCAUUUGAUUCUGCUGGCCUGCGGUAAGAUUAGGUAGCAUUUACUCAUUAUGUUAGCACAGCUGUUUCAAAUGCAUCAUUCCUCUUACCAACACAAACACACCAUACAUGUAAUGUAUGUAAAACUAUAAUGUGUUUACUGCAUUUUUUUGACGUGUUUGUAAAAUUCUAAUGGAAAAAUUAAUUCAAUUACCUCUUUGGUUAAUGAAGAUUGUGCUUUUUGCUUCUAUGGUGAAAUCUGCUUUAAAUGAGGCCUAACAGGAAGGAAGAGUGGUAUUGUAUUCACUACUGAGAUCUCGUUAACAUCCCUGUCUCAAUUCAUGAAGCCAACUCAUCACUAGCUGAAAUUAGAGCAAGAUGAGAGAGAAUGGAAGAUGAAGUGUUUCUUACUGACAUGAAGAGAACUCACUGUCUGUAGAGCUGUUAUGCCGAAUGGAAAGGUGCAGGGUCUGUGUGUGGUUUACAGGCCCCUUGUUUCUCCAAGUGCAGUGUUGUUUCUGCACUCAUGUGUUUGAGCGUCAAUUCUACUGAAUCACAGGUAAAGACAGUCACCUUAUAGGAUUUCGAAGAGGCACAUCUUUGAAUUAUCGGCAAUGAUGGAAAGUAACUAUUUACAUGGUACUGUACUGAAGAAUAAAUUUAACAUUGCUAAUUGUGCUACUUUCACUACAGUUUAGAGGGAAAUAUCAUUAUUAUUAUUAUUAUAAUAAACAAAGAAACUAUAAUUUCAAACGUAGGACUGUCUUCUCUCUCAUCUCAAAUCUCAAUAUGACACAUCCUUGAGACUUCGUUCAGUAUUUGUAUAAUUUAAGUACAUCAAUGUACAAAUGUACUUGAAAUACUCCUCGCAAUAAUCUUCUCAAGUGCAGUGCUUAAAACAUAUUUAAAUUAUUAAACCAUUAAGAAAUAGUUGUAAAUUAAUCUGUUGAUCUAUUUGUUGAAGUAAUUUAUUUGAUGUUU